RNAcentral lists this ribosomal RNA (516 nucleotides) under uncultured Glomus. Its description in RNAcentral is "SSU rRNA". It matches the Rfam family "Eukaryotic small subunit ribosomal RNA", at positions 569 to 1087 of the family's 1831-position model. Lineage: Eukaryota; Fungi; Glomeromycota; Glomeromycetes; Glomerales; Glomeraceae. The record is from RNAcentral.
AGCAGCCGCGGUAAUUCCAGCUCCAAUAGCGUAUAUUAAAGUUGUUGCAGUUAAAAAGCUCGUAGUUGAAUUUCGGGGUUAGUAGGUUGGUCAUGCCUCUGGUAUGUACUGGUCUCACUGAUUCCUCCUUCCUGAUGAACCUUAAUGCCAUUUAUUUGGUGUUUUGGGGAAUUUGGACUGUUACUUUGAAGAAAUUAGAGUGUUUAAAGCAAGCUAACGCUUGAAUACAUUAGCAUGGAAUAAUGAAAUAGGACGUUCGAUCCUAUUUUGUUGGUUUCUAGGAUUGACGUAAUGAUUAAUAGGGAUAGUUGGGGGCAUUAGUAUUCAAUUGUCAGAGGUGAAAUUCUUGGAUUUAUUGAAGACUAACUACUGCGAAAGCAUUUGCCAAGGAUGUUUUCAUUAAUCAAGAACGAAAGUUAGGGGAUCGAAGACGAUCAGAUACCGUCGUAGUCUUAACCAUAAACUAUGCCGACUAGGGAUCGGAUGAUGUUAAUUUUUAAUGACUCAUUCGGCGCC